RNAcentral lists this ribosomal RNA (751 nucleotides) under uncultured bacterium. RNAcentral describes it as "bacterial SSU rRNA". It matches the Rfam family "Bacterial small subunit ribosomal RNA", at positions 8 to 750 of the family's 1533-position model. The record is from RNAcentral.
AGAGUUUGAUCAUGGCUCAGGAUGAACGCUAGCGGCAGGCUUAAUACAUGCAAGUCGAGGGGGAUUAAUUGUCUAGCAAUAGAUGGUUAUGAGACCGGCAAACGGGUGCGGAACACGUACGCAACCUUCCCAAAACUGGUGAAUAGCCCUCCGAAAGGAGGAUUAAUACACCGUAACUUAAUGAAGUGGCAUCACUUUAUUAAUAUAGCUCCGGCGGUUUUGGAUGGGCGUGCGCCUGAUUAGGUAGUUGGCGGGGUAACGGCCCACCAAGCCUACGAUCAGUAACUGGUGUGAGAGCACGACCAGUCACACGGGCACUGAGACACGGGCCCGACUCCUACGGGAGGCAGCAGUAAGGAAUAUUGGUCAAUGGACGCAAGUCUGAACCAGCCAUGCCGCGUGAAGGAUGACGGCCCUCUGGGUUGUAAACUUCUUUUAUCUGGGACGAAAAAAGGUCAUUCUUGAUCACUUGACGGUACCAGAGGAAUAAGCACCGGCUAACUCCGUGCCAGCAGCCGCGGUAAUACGGAGGGUGCAAGCGUUAUCCGGAUUUACUGGGUUUAAAGGGUGCGUAGGUGGGUCUGUAAGUCAGUGGUGAAAUCUCCGAGCUUAACUCGGAAACUGCCAUUGAUACUAUAGGUCUUGAAUUAUCUGGAGGUGAGCGGAAUAUGUCAUGUAGCGGUGAAAUGCUUAGAUAUGACAUAGAACACCAAUUGCGAAGGCAGCUCACUACGGAUCGAUUGACACUGAG